GAGCCGGUAGCUCAGCUGGUAGAGCAUCGGACUUUUAAUCCGCAGGUCGUGGGUUCGAGCCCCACCCGGCUCA
Molecule: transfer RNA, 73 nt
Filed under: Gemmatimonadota bacterium
Lineage: Bacteria; Pseudomonadati; Gemmatimonadota
Also listed under: 2 other names
Description: Gemmatimonadetes bacterium (soil metagenome) tRNA-Lys
Rfam family: tRNA
About the family: Transfer RNA (tRNA) molecules are approximately 80 nucleotides in length. Their secondary structure includes four short double-helical elements and three loops (D, anti-codon, and T loops).
Source: RNAcentral